This is a long non-coding RNA of Gallus gallus (chicken), 5120 nucleotides long. RefSeq lists it as uncharacterized. Lineage: Eukaryota; Metazoa; Chordata; Aves; Galliformes; Phasianidae. The record is from RefSeq and is a predicted model, not a curated record. The transcript is spliced from 5 exons.
AGCCUGCUCUUAGAAUUCUCUGACUGUGCUCUUCGGAGAACCUUUUCCUAUAAGCUACCACCAUGACCAAGUUUUGCUAUUUGCCUGCAAAGACAACUUAGCAUCCUUCAUUUCUGUUCCUAAAAAUAGCAGGCAGCUACAGAAAACAUCUUUCACCACCCUGAAAUGCACAUCAGUGAAUUUGCUUAAAACUCAUUGCACCAGCUAACUACUAGAACAAAUGUGCUUGAACUGCAUGCUAGAUUCUCCCUUUUCCUCCUUUCUGAAAGAGAAAGGAACCAACUGAAAAGAUCCACAAACAUAACUCCAGCCAUUUUUAAGUAGCUGAACUAUUUUAAUGCAUCGCUGCUGCUAAUCAAAGAUCUGGAAGGGCCAAGGAAACCCAGUAUUUACAGAAAGAGGCUGUGCACCCACGCUGAACAACUAUUUCCUUGCUGAUGAAAUCCUUGCAAGUCAAUGCAACUUAUGUACUGUAUUAAAAUGACUGGGACAUUGGAUGCUGUGCAUGCUGAAGCAUGACUGCCUACACAGAACACAUGGGAGGUGCAGCGUCUGUGAGAAGAACAAAGUAAAUUUGAGCAAAAUAUGGUCAAAACUGGAUAUGGAAGUAUCUAAAGCAAAGCCACAUGUGUGCACGUGUCUGCGUUUUCUGUCCAUGAAGCUGCUGGAGCGCAAGGAGCGCAGGGCUUGGGCUUCACGUAGGUCUAUGGCAAAACAGCAUGAAUUCUGGGAUGUAGAUGGUUCAGGCUAAGCAUUAUCAGUACAGAUCUUGUCUCACAGCCCAAAGUUCUUAAAAUUUGUCCUGCGUUGGUAAACUUAAGAACAUAAGGUCCGGUGAUUAUCGAGCACACCACAGAGCACAGGGAGUCACACAGGACCUGACAGAACCUUGUGAUAUGACUUCAGUUCCGAUGCUUUUCUCAAUAUGAUACUUUCUGGUCUGUUACUGUGAUCAUCACCCAUUAGCCGCGGUCAUAAGCCACUGAGAAUAGAUUUCAUUUCUCAUGAACAAAUGUCUUUGUGAACCCAGUUCAGAAAACAGCCGUCUUGAUCUCUUGUUACUGGUUGUGCACUCCCAUUUCAAGACAUUCAGGACAUUCCAAUAUGCGUGUUACUUCUUUUUUUUUUUUUUUUUUUAAUUAAAAAUUGUAUAUGGUGAAGUUUUCUGCUGAGAAUUGUUAGUACGUGGAUCUACAGCAAGAUCUUUUUACAGUUUAAUGUGUAGCUCUCUGGUCCAUAAGCACUGAGAGAAAAGAAAUGCAUUGGAGAGCAUCAACAUCCUCACCUUUGUCCAGGGAGAGUGGCACACAUCAUGCUCAAGUUCUUCUCAUUUAGGCUGGUCCCCAGAACACCUCUGCACAUAUUGUCUAUUUUCCUUCUUCGCGUUGCCAUCUCAUUCCUUGGGAAUGCCACAAAAGUUGUGUCUGAAUUGCAUUUCCCCAGAAACAAACGGCCAUGUAUCUUAGACUUCUGGGGCUAUCAUUCUUAGGGGGAUAGUUAUGGUUGCACCAAACCCUUUCCCAGAAGGGCAGUUCUUUGAUGAAAAGAGUCCUGAGGGACCAGGGAGGAGACAGAAUGAAAGAAGAUUCUUGCUUUUCCCAUUUUGAUCUCCCCUGCCGCAACAUCUUUCAGUCCAGCAGCACGAGGUGCCAGAAAAGAUGAUGUGUUCCUCCUGCAGCUGCUGCCAGAGAGCACUGCUGGACAACACACGCAUGCUACCCUCCAACUGCUGCUGGCCUGCCUGCAAACCAGCCUUCCACAGCUGUUCUCAGCGCCAUCGCUAUCAAAUCACCUCCGAACAUUGCUGAAUGCUGCUGUCCUACCAGAGUGACUCAUCUGCCCGGGCUCCCAGCACACCCACACAAGUGUGAGUAAAGGUGGGAUUCCUGCGCUGUAACCACCACUGUCAGCGCAGAGACUGCAUCCACGCUAAGAGGCAUCACCAUCAGAUGCUUUGCUGAUCUCCAUUUGCUGUUGCUGUGCUGCUGGAGCAUGUGUACCGCUGGGUGUUCUCUUCCAGAGCUGAGCAUCCUCGUUGGAGGUGCUGGCACUGCCAGCAUGGGGCACACAGCUGCUGACACGGCUGUGCUGCUGGAGCGUGCCCACUUGGCACGUUGUUUGGAGCCGUGUGUCAGCUGUGACCUUGUGUGCUUGGUGCAGACAAUGGAGGGCCUGGAUUCUACCAAGAUACUGCACGGUUUUCGCAUGGCUGCAUAAAAAGCAGUGGCAGCAAAACAUGGCACACUUUUCUUUCUCUGCUGAUGGGAAUUUCAUGUUUAUCCAAAUGAAAGCAUCUUGAUACAUUUGCAUUCUUGUGUGGUUUCUAGACUUUUUCAUAUGGAACUCUUUACUCUUUUGAAAUAAACUGCACGUAGUUAUUUAAAGGAGCUCUUGCCAGCUCAGUGGAAACAAACACUACACAAAGGCUUGACCGUAUCAGCUGGCAAUUGCUUGCUCCUUCAAGCUAAGAGUGAAGUACUAACCACAACUCAUUUAGGCUUCUAUAAAACCAGCACAAAACCUUCUCCAAGAUUUCAGUUGCUUCCAGGCAUGGCGUGGAAUGUUUCCCAGCAUGUUUGUCUGGAUUACCCAAAGAACAAGACAUUCACAACCUCUUCUGGUUUCUCCUUCACUGAGAACAUUCAGAUUCUUUGCAGAGGUGGCACCAGCACUCAUCAGAAGGGUUCCUGUAUUCCUCCAAGGGAAGCCAUAGGCAAGUGCACUUGUCGUGCCUUGUUAAAGCUUUUGCUCCAGUGUACAAAAUCUGUUUAUGAUUUCUGGUUUUGUAUCUCAGACUAAGAGAAAACACCGUGCUCCCCAUGGCUCUUCCCUGAUGAAGAAGUGCACUGUUAGCCUGGCAAACCAGCAGCAGGAGCAGAGGAAACGCUGGAUUAAAAACGCUCCAGUGUGCUGCAAUUACCCAACGUGGCUUUUGCUUCUCAACAGCCCUAAUUUUUCCCGUUGUUUUGCAUUUCAAAGAUGAAUAAAGCAUACAUGUAGCCAACUGUCGGUGUCUCUGCUGAAAUGAUACAGUGGUAUAGCCCUGACACAGCCCCAGACUCUCACACAGAAGACACACAUUAUUCAUAAAGUGGUUCUCCCUAAAAAUGGAGCACUCCUGCAAUCUCUUCCACUUCCUAAAUAAGCUAACAGCUUCUGUGUAGAGGUAGUGAAUGACCACAAGAAGAAUGCCAGGAUGUCCUUCCUGUCUGGACACCAGUCUAGAGAAAUAGCUGUGGGGAGAGGUUUACAUCAAAGCAAACUACUCUGCAUUUGUAUUUGAAGCAAACUGAUUACUCCAAAGCAAAUCAUUUUUUUUUAUAGAAGAGUAUCCGCACUGGAAACUGUUCUAAUAAAUUUCACUACACUGCCAAGCACUGACUGGAAAGAGUAAUACUUUUAUUUCAAACAACAUCAAGCCGAUGUGAACUCAUUUUAAGGCCAUUUCCAUUGUAAGAGUAGUAUCAGCAGUGCACAUUUCUGUUCAGAGAUUCUUAUCUCAGCACUCCCAGGAGUUGUCUUCCAGGAGGUUACCAAAGUGACAGAUACGUGGAAAGCUUUAAUUUUCUCGCUAGAAGGAGAAAUAUUUCUCCUUCUCUUCCUUAGCAUACCUUUCCCUUAAGGUCAGGCUUGUUCCCCAAGAGUCCCUUACAUACUGUUGGGAAGUGCUUAAGGUCUGUCUUGCACAGUUCCCAUGGCAAACACAGCUGGGCAUGUAUCCGUUUCCAUCAGCGUUAGAGAACAUGAUCUUCUGCCUUGUAGCCUUUUGAUGACAACUCCCAUCAAAUCUAGGAAGCUCAAUUCUAAGAAGUCAUUUUCCUUGAAAAGCGUUCCACAGCCUCCUAAGUUCAGCUUUUUCCAUUUUUAACAAUACUUCCAUAACUCCUUUCCCAACCAGCAGACAUCAUUUCAUUUCGCAACGGAUUAAUACUCUUUCAAUUAAGGAAAGCAACAUUAGAGUUGGGUUUUCAUCACAGAGUGCAGUUCUUGCACAUCCACUUCUCCUGGGAAAGAUGGCACUGACAUCUCAUCGUUAGUGCAGGCACUGCACGGUCUGUGACAAAGCCUCGGACAAGGCAGCCUCUGUCACAAGGAUUUUAAUCCCCACUGCAGUGCAAGGAAGUGAGGAGGCAGACUGGAGGAAGAAGAAGAGACAUACAAAGGCUAAUUAAAAGAAGAGGCCUCAGCAACAUUUAAACUCCAAUUGUUUGAACAGUUGUACAGUAAGUGCUUUAGGAGAAGAGGUUAAUACGUGGUAAAUUAACUGGCAGUCACUUUCUUUUUUUCCAAUGUAUAUUUUACUGCUAAUAAGUUGUUGGGCUUCCAACAGCAGAGUGCACAUGCUCUGCUUUUCUUUCAAACAUACAGAAAUUGGCAGGGCUGUCUCUUCCUGCUUACAUCCCAUUGUACUGCCUUGGAAUUGCUCCUGUUUCCAUCCAGCAUCAUCCAGUGGUUGAAAAGCAGUACAGUGAGCAACGGAGCGACAUGGCGCUCUCUCCUGCAGCUCUGCCUGUGCAUGGCUGUGGGUACAAAGCUUUCUUCCUCUUGACAUGGGACAGUGAGGCAGGAGAUUUUACUGCAGCAAACACUUCAAAAUAGAAUGAAUUGCAGUGACAGAGGAGGAAGCAGGUAACUGGAGCUGUCUGUGCCAAGGAAUCGAAUCUAGGACAAGGUUCUGCAUGGAGCAGCUGGCAUGCAGCUUCUUCCCAUUCCCUUUCCUGCUGACCUCAAUGUGUGGUGCUCCUAAUAUUACAAAAUGAAGAUUGUUAUUAUUAUUAUUUCUGCACAGUCUAUUUUUUUUUUCCCACAAUAAGGGGUUUUUAAGCCAGCAGCUUUUUGUCAUUUGGAAAACAUUCUGACUUCUGUUUGUCAAGUCCACAGCUCCUCUGCUGCGCUGCGGGGAAGAGGCGUAACUGAAAGCUGAUUCUGUGGACUGUGAUUGUCUGCAGGUCUGCUUUGCCAGUCAAUUUCUUUCCUUUCCCUUUUUUUUUUUUUUAAUCCAUUAAGCAGUAUACUUCAAAAUCCUGGUACUUUUCAGGUGGUUGACUUCGUCUGAAAGCUUUCAAAGAGCUGAAUCGCACACAUUUCCCAUUUAACUGAGUAUCUGUGAGCAUACAAUU